This 282-nucleotide ribosomal RNA is filed under the name uncultured bacterium. RNAcentral's name for it is "partial 16S ribosomal RNA". It matches the Rfam family "Bacterial small subunit ribosomal RNA", at positions 30 to 311 of the family's 1533-position model. The record is from RNAcentral.
AUUGAACGCUGGCGGCGUGCUUAACACAUGCAAGUCGAUCGGUAACAGGUGUAGCAAUACAUGCUGACGAGAGGCGGACGGGUGAGCAAUGCUUGGGAAUCUGCCUAUUAGUGGGGGACAACCCGGGGAAACUCGGGCUAAUACCGCAUACGCUCUACGGAGGAAAGCCGGGGACCGCAAGGCCUGGCGCUAAUAGAUGAGCCCAAGUCGGAUUAGCUAGUUGGUAGGGAACGGCCUACCAAGGCGACAAUCCGUAGCUGGUCUGAGAGGACGACCAGCCAC